AAAAUACUGCCACCGGGUAGUGAAUGCCAAGCAUUCGAUUAUACAUCGUUAGGUCUUAGAAGAUGUAUGGUCGGAUGCUUGUUUUUU
This 87-nucleotide non-coding RNA is filed under the name unclassified sequences. The record is from RNAcentral.